CUCAGGUUGCUUAAGGCCAGUCUUGCCCCAGGACUAUUUACAAUAAGCUCUGGAGCUGGAAGAAAGUUUAUGUCAGGGGCCAGGAUGUGGCUCAGUUGGUGACGUGUUUGCCUAACAAGCACAAACCCUGAGUCUGAUCUUCAGCAUGGGAGGUGGAAGCAGGAGCAGCAGAAAUUCAAGGAGCUUCAAGAAUUCUCUGAAACUGACCAGAUUCGGCAGGCCCCUCCCUAGCAGAGUAAGCAGAGCCCAGCUGCAAAGAAGAGCAGCCUGGAGAAGGGUUAGAGCAACCGAGGCACCUGGGAAGGACAUUUGCCAACCCAUUAAGCCACCUACAAGCUAUACAGUGAGCUCCCAUUUCCCAGCUUUGGGAGCUGUCACCCAUGCUGGGGUGGGCUUUGGUGAUUCGGUUGUCUAUGAGCCAUUUCUGCUCUUGUAUGUAACCCCUCACCCUCAUUCCUGUAAGUCACCCGAAUAAAACUCAUUGACUCACCAA
Cricetulus griseus (Chinese hamster) is the source of this 493-nucleotide non-coding RNA. The record is from RefSeq and is a predicted model, not a curated record. Lineage: Eukaryota; Metazoa; Chordata; Mammalia; Rodentia; Cricetidae.